RNAcentral lists this ribosomal RNA (253 nucleotides) under uncultured bacterium. Its description in RNAcentral is "partial 16S ribosomal RNA". It matches the Rfam family "Bacterial small subunit ribosomal RNA", at positions 524 to 776 of the family's 1533-position model. The record is from RNAcentral.
UACGAAGGGGGCUAGCGUUGUUCGGAAUUACUGGGCGUAAAGCGCGCGCAGGCGGCUAUCCAAGUCAGUGGUGAAAGCCCGGAGCUCAACUCCGGAACUGCCAUUGAAACUGUUUAGCUUGAGGAUGAGAGAGGUGAGUGGAAUUCCCAGUGUAGAGGUGAAAUUCGUAGAUAUUGGGAAGAGCACCGGUUGCGAAGGCGGCUCACUGGCCCGGUACUGACGCUGAGGUGCGAAAGCGUGGGGAGCAAACAGG